CACCAGCCCCUCGAGUGGUGGGGAUGAUUAUUUGGUCUAAAGCGUCCGUAGCCGGCCGGGUAAGUUUCCCGUUAAAUCCAACGUCUCAAGCGUUGGACUGCGGGAAAUACUGCCUGGCUAGAGAGUGGGAGAGGUCAGCGGUAUUCUGGGGGUAGGGGCGAAAUCCUUUGAUCCCCGGAGGACCACCAGUGGCGAAGGCUGCUGACUAGAACACGUCUGACGGUCAGGGACGAAAGCUGGGGUAGCGAACCGGAUUAGAUACCCGGGUAGUCCCAGCCGUAAACGAUGCAUGCUAGGUGUUGGGUUGGCCACGAGCCACCCCAGUGCCGCAGGGAAGCCGUUAAGCAUGCCGCCUGGGAAGUACGAUCGCAAGAUUGAAACUUAAAGGAAUUGGCGGGGAGCACCACCAGGCGUGAAGCCUGCGGUUU
This 428-nucleotide ribosomal RNA is filed under the name uncultured archaeon. RNAcentral describes it as "bacterial SSU rRNA". It matches the Rfam family "Archaeal small subunit ribosomal RNA", at positions 474 to 903 of the family's 1478-position model. The record is from RNAcentral.